This is a non-coding RNA of Taeniopygia guttata (zebra finch), 687 nucleotides long. The record is from RefSeq and is a predicted model, not a curated record. NCBI's taxonomy places the organism in Eukaryota, Metazoa, Chordata, Aves, Passeriformes, Estrildidae.
CCCUUCGGCGGCUGGGUCAAGAGCAGAGGUGUCAGAGCAAUAGUGAGCGUUGUUCCAGCUUGGUUGGUUCUAGCACAUGUUGUUCAAGAGGCCGAUCCACACACUGAGUGGAGAUUUUUCAGCAGGAUCAGUGGCUGUGUGGGAGCCAGAGCACCCUAGGCAGAGUGGGAUGGCGGAGCUGUGGCCUGGGCACGAUCCAGAGCGUUUCACAGGGCUCCAAUCCACACUGCAUUCUGCAGGGCCCCAACAGCACUACAAUGCCCAUCAGGGUGGCCCAGAGGUCCCAGGACCAGCAGCAGAUGCAAGAAGAGCCGAAUCAAACACUUCAUGUCCUGCCUCUGAGAAAAAGAGAACAAUGCUCAUUAAGCCUGCAGAGAGUGAAGGGAAUGCUUGCAGUGCUGUUUAUUGCUGACCCUACAGGGACAGGGUGAUUAAUUUACUUGCUCUGAGGACUUACAAGAAGCCACAGUUACUUGCUCGCUUGCAAAGAGAUGGAGUCAUGCAAAAGGACAAGGGCACCCUUGGAAAGAUCCUUCAGCAGGUGAUAUUGUGGAGUGUCUGUCAGCAAUUUUUCCACCACACUAUUCUUUCGUUCCUAAUUGUCACUUGUUUCUCCACUGUUUUUAGAUAAAUUAGAUACUAAUGAGCAAGUUAAGAAAUGCUCCCUGUUAAGUUUUUUCAUCAACU